CAGUAAGUCAAGGCCCUCCCUACAAUCCAGAUGGCCAGCCGAUGGGGGGCUUCGUCAUGGACGGCCAGCAGCACAUGGGAAUCAGACCACCUGGAGCGAUGGGUGGAAUGGGCAUGAACAUGGGCAUGGAAGGUCAGUGGCACUACAUGUAGCCCCGCCCCUCUCCCACCAAUCGCCACACAACGGGGAUAGCUGCACGGCCACCCGGGAGCUCACCCGUCUCACGGAGGUCCACCGAGCUCUGGAACUGGACUCCUCGACUUCCUGAUGCCGCCGCCGACCAGCAGCAACCCCCCGGUCCACCUCCCGAGACCCAACCACAUUUGAUUCGGCUGACGCGUGCAACGCGGAAACCCCGGCCUCCGAUCCUCGUCUAUUAUCCACCGACGGCGAUGAAAGAUGAAACUAUGCCCCGCCCCCCCCCCCCCCCCAUGUCCUCGACAGACCCCUGCUUCUUCUUCUCUGGUGGGCUCCAGACCUUCGCCCCCCUCCCCCUCACACGGAUUCCUCCAUUAACAAGUGAUCGCGGUUUGCGAUCGUGAGCGUUGACGACACGCGAUGGACGCCGUGUCCGAUGCCUUGACCUCCGGCGCCUGCGGCACCCGGUGAAAUAUUCUCGAGACUCUUUGGCGAACAGAAGAGACUUCCUGCGAAGAAGCGCGCCAACUCUUUUGGGACGAUGGAAUCGGACCGAGGAAGAAGCCAAUGUCUGUAUCCGACAGGACA
This is a long non-coding RNA of Cyclopterus lumpus (lumpfish), 726 nucleotides long. RefSeq lists it as uncharacterized. The record is from RefSeq and is a predicted model, not a curated record. The transcript has 3 exons. NCBI's taxonomy places the organism in Eukaryota, Metazoa, Chordata, Actinopteri, Perciformes, Cyclopteridae.